Molecule: ribosomal RNA, 551 nt
Filed under: Histoplasma capsulatum
Lineage: Eukaryota; Fungi; Ascomycota; Eurotiomycetes; Onygenales; Ajellomycetaceae
Description: eukaryotic LSU rRNA
Rfam family: Eukaryotic large subunit ribosomal RNA
Source: RNAcentral
ACGGCGCAGUGAGCGGCAAGAGCUCAAAUUUGAAAUCCGGCCCCCCUGGGGGCCUGAGUUGUAAUUUGCAGAGGAUGCUUCGGGCGCGACCGCGGUCCAAGUCCCCUGGAACGGGGCGUCGUAGAGGGUGAGAAUCCCGUCUCCGGCCGGCCGGUCUCGCCCGUGUGAAGCUCCUUCGACGAGUCGAGUUGUUUGGGAAUGCAGCUCCAAAUGGGUGGUAAAUUUCAUCUAAAGCUAAAUACUGGUCGGAGACCGAUAGCGCACAAGUAGAGUGAUCGAAAGAUGAAAAGCACUUUGAAAAGAGAGUUAAACAGCAUGUGAAAUUGUUGAAAGGGAAGCGCUUGCGACCAGAGUCGGCCGUGGGGGUUCAGCGGGCAUUCGUUGCCCGUGCAAUCCCCCGCGGCCGGGCCAGCGUCGGUUUCGACGGCCGGUCAAAGGCCCCCGGAAUGUGUCGCCUCUCGGGGCGUCUUAUAGCCGGGGGUGCAAUGCGGCCAGUCGGGACCGAGGAACGCGCUCCGGCACGGACGCUGGCUUAAUGGUCGUCAGCGACC